AACACAUGCAAGUCGAACGCGAAAGGGACUUCGGUCCUGAGUAAAGUGGCGCACGGGUGAGUAACGCGUGGAUAAUCUGCCCUUAUGAUCGGGAUAACAGUUGGAAACGGCUGCUAAUACCGGAUACGCUCAAAAUGAACUUUUUGAGGAAAGAUGGCCUCUGCUUGCAUGCUAUCACGUAAGGAUGAGUCCGCGUCCCAUUAGCUUGUUGGCGGGGUAACGGCCCACCAAGGCAACGAUGGGUAGCCGAUUUGAGAGGAUGAUCGGCCACACUGGAACUGAAACACGGUCCAGACUCCUACGGGAGGCAGCAGUGGGGAAUAUUGCGCAAUGGGCGAAAGCCUGACGCAGCGACGCCGCGUGAGGGAUGAAAAGGUUUUCGGAUCGUAAGCCUCUGUCAGAAGGGAAGAAACUACGUUGUGCUAAUCAGCAGCGUACUGACGGUACCUUCAAAGGAAGCACCGGCUAACUCCGUGCCAGCAGCCGC
Molecule: ribosomal RNA, 487 nt
Filed under: uncultured bacterium
Lineage: Bacteria
Description: bacterial SSU rRNA
Rfam family: Bacterial small subunit ribosomal RNA
Source: RNAcentral